AAAUUUAUUUUUAACCAGUAUUUUUGCCUGCCUUAAUUUUGCGAUAUCGAGACAGUCUCUCUAAGCUGGAAGAAUGUUAUAUCUAGCGAUAUGAUUGACCGACUUAAGUUCCGUUGUGAAACUAUGUGAAAAACGUUACACAGCUCUAUUGUCGUUCAUAAAUCU
Molecule: small nucleolar RNA, 165 nt
Filed under: Naumovozyma dairenensis CBS 421
Lineage: Eukaryota; Fungi; Ascomycota; Saccharomycetes; Saccharomycetales; Saccharomycetaceae
Description: Small nucleolar RNA snR161
Rfam family: Small nucleolar RNA snR161
Source: Rfam by way of RNAcentral